Molecule: long non-coding RNA, 1198 nt
Organism: Leptinotarsa decemlineata (Colorado potato beetle)
Lineage: Eukaryota; Metazoa; Arthropoda; Insecta; Coleoptera; Chrysomelidae
Source: RefSeq, a predicted model, not a curated record
GUCAUUGUUAUUAAAUAAUAGAUAAAAUUUGCUAUUCUAAACUUUCGAAUUGGACGUCAUCUAUUACAUGUGUCGAACUUGGCCUCCCUCCAGUUUUUCCAUGUGAUAGGUGAUAGAUUAAAUUCAAGUUCAAAUUUCUCAUGAACCUUGGAGUGUUGUGUUUUUUUAUUAUUGGGUUGUGAUAAUUAACAAUGAUCUUCAGUAAAAGGACAAAGCAAUUAAUAGAAAAAUAUUGUGGGUGUUGGGGGUUUUAUCAAUUAUGACUGACCUUGAGAGAUAUCAGUUGAAAGGGUAAAAUUUUUCUUGUGAUAUUAACAUUAUUAUAGGUUGGCCAAUUAUGAAGCAUAAAUUUCACUUUCAUCAAUAUUGAAAUGCCCAUUUUUUCAUUCAGAGAUGGAUUCCAUAUUAUUUACAUAUAAUAAAAAAGUAUAGGGCCCAACACUGAUCCCUGUGUGACACCUACAUUAAUAUCCACAUAAUUGUAUGUAUAUAAUUUUCUUACAUUAUUAUUAUCAUUGAUGAUACUGAUAUAUUGCUUCCGUGUUGAGACAAACAUUUUUAGCCAGUUAAGUGAAUUUCAUUGUACGCCAAUAUUAUGGAGUUUUAUAUAAAGAUUUUCGUGAUCAACACAGUCGAGUGCCUUACUGAGGUCACAGAAGACCCCGAUAGAGCACUCGCCCUGCUAAUUGAAUUCAAGACGUUAGAAUAUAAAGAAUAAAUCACAUCAGUUGAUGACUUUGAAUUCUGAAAACCAUAUUGGUUUUUGGAUAUAAUGUUGUUCUCAUUCAAAUAAACGUUCAGUCUGUUCAAAUAUGCAUAUUCAAAGAUCUUAGAGAAAACAGAUGGCACUGUGAUCGGUUGAAAAUUUGUCAUGUUAUAUGGAUUGCCUUUUUUAUAUAUAAUAAUGACUUUACCCGUUUUAAGGAGAUUCGGAAAAAUUCCUGUACAGUAUGAAAUAUUUAUCAGAUAUGUUAUAGGUGAGAUCAUAGAGCCUAAAAUUUUUCUUAAUAGAAACCCUGGAACUUCAUCAAAUCCAGAUGAGUAGGUGUUUUUUAAUUUUGACCAUAAUAGCUUGUAUAAUUCAUCUUGAUUAUAAGGUAGCAGCGAGAACUUAUUUGAAUGAGGAUAUCUUUCUAGUGGAUUGGACAAGUUUGUGGAAUUCUGGGUUUUUUUAAUAAUAUUUAAUGGGGCAUUUCUG